AUUAUACCCUUUUUGAACCUUACCUUAAACAGGAUAAAAACCCUUGAUUUGAAAUUAUUGACCUUGAGUUGGGUUGAGAUUAAUUGCAUGUGUUCAAAAGGUUCAAGUUUGGGGCUGUAUAGGAAAAGUUGAAUGGCAAAAGAGUAGCAUUGAGCUCAAGUGUUGAAAAAGAAAAAUGCAUGAGAAAAAGAAAGAAAGAAAAGAAAAGAAAAAAGCAUGAAAGAUGAGCUCAAUGUAAAAAUAAAAGAAAAGGGAAGAAGUUGGGAAUUGGUGAGAUUGGUGAAAAAGAGAGUUGUGCUUGAACUUUGAAUGUUAAAAUAUUUCUCUUAACUCAAGGAUUUUGUAUUCCGAAAAAACCAAUUUUUCUUGAUAGCCCAGCCUCAUUACAAGCCUUGGAAAAGUCCUUGUGAUGGCAUUUGCAUGUGAGGAUUUUCAUUGUUUUAGAUGAAUGACAAUGUUGUUUUAUGUGACAUGUGAACUGUAGAAGAGUGGAGUGACCUUCUAAACACUUGAGAGAUUGAGUGAAACACUUGCUUGGUGAGAAUUGUUGAAAUCCAUGUUUACAUCUAUGCUUAGUGAAUUGAUCAUUCAUAAAUGAAACAUCUGUUGGGAAAUAUGUGCUUAUGUGAACUGAAUUGGAUUGAAAGCAUGCAUGCAUUUUGAUAGGAUUCCACUG
RNAcentral lists this long non-coding RNA (676 nucleotides) under Vigna radiata. RNAcentral's name for it is "long non-coding RNA (VRAD_LNC011785)". Lineage: Eukaryota; Viridiplantae; Streptophyta; Magnoliopsida; Fabales; Fabaceae. The record is from RNAcentral.